GUUUAUUCAAGAUAUAAGUAGACAGAAUUCUUUUUAAUCAAAAUAUGAAUGACAUAAUUUUUACAGAAAAGAGACGCUAGCAGUAUCCCUGAAGCACCUCGUGUAUCAACACAUAAGACCUAUGGUGAAAAGCAAGCGGUCUCAUCAGAUUCAAGAUUAAAAACACCUUAUAAUAAGUUCGAGCCUUAUACUCCAGAUCCGGAUUAUCCUGGGGCCAAGGAAUAUUAUAGAACAAAUCAAACACAUGAACAAAUUCGGAUCGACGUCAGGAGAGAUAGAAACGAUGAGCCUGAUCCUGAUUAUUAAGAAAUUGAAGUAAGUAUAUGCUGUAUAUUUUAAAGGAAAUUUAACUAUGUGAUCCUCACGAACACGAUUUAGCAACUAGAAUUGUUAUUUCAAUUGGCGAUAUAUAUCAUGAAGACUUUCCAGAAUAAGCUUCGAGUCGCAAUUGUGUUGGAACGACCUCCACAACGAAGUAGGCAAGUUGCAUAUUGUUUGAAGGUCCGAGAAAUUUGGUGGCACUUUUUCCUCCAGCAUUUUUUGUCGCAUUAAAUGAAUUUAGAGGUCAUCAGUAUGUUUCAUGUUGGAGUACAAAGAAAAUUAUGUAUAGAUUGUGUAGAUGUAUGUAUACUUCAUUUGGAGAUACUUUGGACAAGUUGAUUAAAAUGAUUUCUAGUCUCUAAGAGAUUGACUUUUACAAACAAUAUCGAGAGAUAUACUGUAAAACGUUGAGUUUUUUGUUUGUGAAAUUUUGUAAUGCAUCAAGAUUAAAGGGUUUUUUUCUUUACCUUAUGUCAGAAUGUUUUUACUUUUGUUUACAGAGUACUUUUAAGGCCAUGAUAUUGAUUUGUUUCUUAAUGAGUUUAU
Saccostrea cuccullata (small rock oyster) is the source of this 867-nucleotide long non-coding RNA. RefSeq lists it as uncharacterized. NCBI's taxonomy places the organism in Eukaryota, Metazoa, Mollusca, Bivalvia, Ostreida, Ostreidae. The transcript is spliced from 5 exons. The record is from RefSeq and is a predicted model, not a curated record.